This 2409-nucleotide ribosomal RNA is filed under the name human oral metagenome. RNAcentral describes it as "bacterial LSU rRNA". It matches the Rfam family "Bacterial large subunit ribosomal RNA", at positions 1 to 2485 of the family's 2925-position model. The record is from RNAcentral.
GUUAGUUUUUAAGAGCGUUCGGUGGAUGCCUUGGUAUCAGGGGCCGAUGAAGGACGUGGUGGACUGCGAUAAGCCUCGGGGAGCUGUCUGACAGGCUUUGAUCCGAGGGUUUCCGAAUAGGGGAACCUAGCAAGAGUAAUGUCUUGUUACCUGCGCCUGAAUGUAUAGGGCGCAAGGGGGUGUACGCGGGGAAGUGAAACAUCUUAGUACCCGCAGGAAAAGAUAUUCCGUUAGUAGUGGCGAGCGAAAGCGGAUUAGGUGAAACCGUGUUAGUGUGAUAGACGCCAGUUGUUGCUGAUGCGGGGUUGUGGGGCGUGUUCGUAUAUUCUCUGGCGGGGGUGUGCGUAGUUAUAAAUGUUUGGUGUAGUUGAAUAGUCUGGGAAGGCUAAGCGUAGACGGUGAUACUCCGGUAGGCGAAACAUCAGGCACUGCGUUGGACAUGUUUCCCAAGUAGCACGGGGCUCGUGGAAUCUUGUGUGAAUUUGCUAAGACCACUUAGCUGCCUAAAUACUUCCUGGUAACCGAUAGCGGAUAAGUACCGUGAGGGAAUGGUGAAAAGUACCCCGGGAGGGGAGUGAAAUAGUACCUGAAACCGGGCGCUUACAAGCCGUCAAAGCCCUUUAGGGGGUGAUGGCGUGCCUAUUGAAGAAUGAGCCUGCGAGUUAGUGGCGUGUCGCGAGGUUAACCCGUGUGGGGGAUCCGUAGCGAAAGCGAGUCUGAAAGGGCGUUUAGUGGCACGUUCUAGACCCGAAGCGGGGUGAUCUACCCAUGGCCAGGUUGAAGCACGUGUAAGAGCGUGUGGAGGACCGAACCCACUUCAGUUGAAAAUGGAGGGGAUGAGCUGUGGGUAGGGGUGAAAGGCCAAUCAAACUCCGUGAUAGCUGGUUCUCCCCGAAAUGCAUUUAGGUGCAGCGUUGCGUGGUUCCGGGCGGGGGUAGAGCUACUGGAUGGCUGAUGGGCCUUACAGGGUUACUGACGUCAACCAAACUCCGAAUACCGUCCGGGUAUAGCGUGGCAGUGAGACAGUGGGGGAUAAGCUCCGUUGUCGAGAGGGAAACAGCCCAGAUCGCCGGCUAAGGCCCCUAAGCGUGUGCUAAGUGGGAAAGGAUGUGCGGUCGCGUUGACAACCAGGAGGUUGGCUUAGAAGCAGCCAUCCUUGAAAGAGUGCGUAAUAGCUCACUGGUCAAGUGAUCGUGCGCCGACAAUGUAGCGGGGCUCAAGUAGUCCGCCCUGGGUGAGUCGGGUCCUAAGGCGAGGCCGACAGGCGUAGUCGAUGGGUAACCGGUUGAUAUUCCGGUACCGGCUGGUAACCGUCAAGUGUUGACUGAAAGGUACUAACCCACGCUAAAAACAUGAUCGGGCGCCUUUUGGGUGUUUGGUUGUGGUUUUGGUUUGGGGACAGGCUUUCUUGGUAGGCAAGCGUGUGGAGUGACGCACAGUGGAAGCCUUCGCGAGGUGAUGGAAUACCUCGUUUAACCGUGUAGCUUACUGCUCAGGUAAAUCCGGGUGGUUUUAUGUGAGGCGGGAUGAUGACCACUUUUGGUGGGAAGUAGGGGUGAUCCUGUGGUGCCGAGAAAAGCUUCGACGCGAGGUGGCUGGCCGCCCGUACCCUAAACCGACACAGGUGGUCGGGCAGAGUAUGCCUAGGCGCACGAGAUAAUCAUGGUUAAGGAACUCGGCAAAAUGCCCCCGUAACUUCGGGAGAAGGGGGGCCUGAUACUUGAUGAAACCAUUUUUUGUGGCUUUCUAGGGUUGAGGGUCGCAGAGACCAGGGAGAAGCGACUGUUUACUAAAAACACAGGUGCGUGCGAAGCCGUAAGGCGAUGUAUACGUACUGACGCCUGCCCGGUGCUGGAAGGUUAAGAGGAACCGUCAGCUGGCUUUUUGUUGGUGAAGCGGUGAAUUUAAGCCCCAGUAAACGGCGGUGGUAACUAUAACCAUCCUAAGGUAGCGAAAUUCCUUGUCGGGUAAGUUCCGACCUGCACGAAUUUACGCGCAGAAGGACGGAAAGACCCCGGGACCUUUACUAUAGCUUGGUAUUGGUGCGCGUUAUAGCUUGUGUAGGAUAGGUGGGAGACUGUGAAGUGGUCACGCUAGUGAUUGUGGAGUCGUUGUUGAAAUACCACUCUGGUUAUAGCGUGUGCCUGAACCUUGGCCCGUGAUCCGGGUUAGGGACAGUGCCUGGUGGGUAGUUUAACUGGGGCGGUUGCCUCCUAAAUUGUAACGGAGGCGCUCAAAGGUUCCCUCAUCCUGGUCGGUAACCAGGUGUUGAGUGUAAGUGCACAAGGGAGCUUGACUGCGAGACUGACAGGUCGAGCAGGUACGAAAGUAGGAACUAGUGAUCCGGCGAUCCCGUGUGGGUGGGUCGUCGCUCAACGGAUAAAAGGUACCCCGGGGAUAACAGGCUGA